CUUUUGUGACUGAGCGGCGGACGGGUGAGUAACGCGUGGGUAACCUGCCUCAUACAGGGGGAUAACAGUUAGAAAUGGCUGCUAAUACCGCAUAAGACCACAGUACUGCAUGGUACAGUGGUAAAAACUCCGGUGGUAUGAGAUGGACCCGCGUCUGAUUAGGUAGUUGGUGAGGUAACGGCCCACCAAGCCGACGAUCAGUAGCCGACCUGAGAGGGUGACCGGCCACAUUGGGACUGAGACACGGCCCAGACUCCUACGGGAGGCAGCAGUGGGGAAUAUUGCACAAUGGGGGAAACCCUGAUGCAGCGACGCCGCGUGGAGGAAGAAGGUCUUCGGAUUGUAAACUCCUGUUGUUGAGGAAGAUAAUGACGGUACUCAACAAGGAAGUGACGGCUAACUACGUGCCAGCAGCCGCGGUAAAACGUAGGUCACAAGCGUUGUCCGGAAUUACUGGGUGUAAAGGGAGCGCAGGCGGGAAGACAAGUUGGAAGUGAAAUCUAUGGGCUCAACCCAUAAACUGCUUUCAAAACUGUUUUUCUUGAGUAGUGCAGAGGUAGGCGGAAUUCCCGGUGUAGCGGUGGAAUGCGUAGAUAUCGGGAGGAACACCAGUGGCGAAGGCGGCCUACUGGGCACCAACUGACGCUGAGGCUCGAAAGUGUGGGUAGCAAACAGGAUUAGAUACCCUGGUAGUCCACACCGUAAACGAUGAUUACUAGGUGUUGGAGGAUUGACCCCUUCAGUGCCGCAGUUAACACAAUAAGUAAUCCACCUGGGGAGUACGACCGCAAGGUUGAAACUCAAAGGAAUUGACGGGGGCCCGCACAAGCAGUGGAGUAUGUGGUUUAAUUCGACGCAACGCGAAGAACCUUACCAAGUCUUGACAUCCUGCGACGAUGCUGGAAACAGUAUUUUCCUUCGGGACGCAGAGACAGGUGGUGCAUGGUUGUCGUCAGCUCGUGUCGUGAGAUGUUGGGUUAAGUCCCGCAACGAGCGCAACCCUUACUGUCAGUUACUACGCAAGAGGACUCUGGCGAGACUGCCGUUGACAAAACGGAGGAAGGUGGGGAUGACGUCAAAUCAUCAUGCCCUUUAUGACCUGGGCUACACACGUACUACAAUGGCGUUAAACAAAGAGAAGCAAGACCGCGAGGUGGAGCAAAACUCAAAAACAACGUCUCAGUUCAGAUUGCAGGCUGCAACUCGCCUGCAUGAAGUCGGAAUUGCUAGUAAUCGCGGAUCAGCAUGCCGCGGUGAGUACGUUCCCGGGCCUUGCACUCACCGCCCGUCA
Molecule: ribosomal RNA, 1291 nt
Filed under: uncultured bacterium
Lineage: Bacteria
Description: bacterial SSU rRNA
Rfam family: Bacterial small subunit ribosomal RNA
Source: RNAcentral